AAACUAACAAGGAUUCCCCUAGUAACGGCGAGUGAAGCGGGAAGAGCUCAAAUUUGAAAUCUGGCAGCCUCAGGUUGUCCGAGUUGUAAUCUAUAGAGGCGUUUUCCGCGUCGGACUGUGUCCAAGUCCCUUGGAACAGGGUAUCAAAGAGGGUGACAAUCCCGUACUUGACACAACCACCGAUGCUAUGUGAUACGCUUUCUACGAGUCGAGUUGUUUGGGAAUGCAGCUCAAAAUGGGUGGUAAAUUCCAUCUAAAGCUAAAUAUUGGCGAGAGACCGAUAGCGAACAAGUACCGUGAGGGAAAGAUGAAAAGCACUUUGGAAAGAGAGUUAAACAGUACGUGAAAUUGUUGAAAGGGAAACGAUUGAAGUCAGUCGUGUUCUUCAGAUUCAGCUGGUUCUGCCAGUCUACUUCUGUUGAACGGGUCAACAUCAGUUUUGUCCGGUGGAAAAGGGCAGGAGGAAAGUAGCUCCCUCGGGAGUGUUAUAGCCUCUUGUCGCAUACACUGGGUGAGACUGAGGAA
This 525-nucleotide ribosomal RNA is filed under the name Cryptotrichosporon argae. RNAcentral's name for it is "eukaryotic LSU rRNA". It matches the Rfam family "Eukaryotic large subunit ribosomal RNA", at positions 62 to 593 of the family's 3401-position model. The record is from RNAcentral. Lineage: Eukaryota; Fungi; Basidiomycota; Tremellomycetes; Trichosporonales; Tetragoniomycetaceae.